RNAcentral lists this ribosomal RNA (250 nucleotides) under uncultured bacterium. RNAcentral describes it as "partial 16S ribosomal RNA". It matches the Rfam family "Bacterial small subunit ribosomal RNA", at positions 524 to 773 of the family's 1533-position model. The record is from RNAcentral.
UACAGAGGUCCCGAGCGUUGUUCGGAUUCACUGGGCGUAAAGGGUGCGUAGGCGGCAGGGAAAGUCUGAUGUGAAAGCUCGGAGCUUAACUCCGAAACGGCAUUGGAAACUGCCCUGCUGGAGGGUUGGAGGGGGGACUGGAAUUCUCGGUGUAGCAGUGAAAUGCGUAGAUAUCGAGAGGAACACCAGUGGCGAAGGCGAGUCCCUGGACAACUCCUGACGCUGAGGCACGAAAGCCAGGGGAGCAAAC